Molecule: long non-coding RNA, 600 nt
Filed under: Selaginella moellendorffii
Lineage: Eukaryota; Viridiplantae; Streptophyta; Lycopodiopsida; Selaginellales; Selaginellaceae
Description: long non-coding RNA (SMOE_LNC001796)
Source: RNAcentral
UUGUUGUUGAAUUUGAGUAGUAUUUAAAGAAACUUUUAUUUUGAUGAGAAACAAAUUAGUAACUAUGAAGCAUAUAAUGUUUUUUGUUGUUCUCUUUUGUUUUCUGUUUGUUAGCAAAGCAAGAACUCCACCUCCUCCUGAUUUUUGUAACAAGCUAAUUAAUGAUUGUUCCAGCGGUUUCAUUGGUACACCUUCAGCUACAUGUUGUGCUUUGGCAAAGUCAAGUACAAGUCAAGCCAUUUGCAAAUGUGUUCCUUGCCAGUAUAGAUCUCUUGCUGGAAGCCUUGCUAACAAAUGCUCUGGUGUUAAUGUCACCUGUGCUGCUUGCUAAAAAUCAUAAGCAAGUUAAUCACUUCGAAUAAAAGGCAUAAAACCACUGUGAGUAUAGAUCUCGUGUUGGAAGCCUUGCUAGCAAAUGCUCUGGUGUUAAUGUCACCUGUGCUGCUUGCUAAAAAUCAUAAGCAAGUUAAUCACUUCGAAUAAAAAGGCAUAAAACCAUUGUUUAACAUAUCUCUCAUUCUUUGUAGUGCAGUUUAUUUUAGAGAUUCCAGAAUUGCAAAACCGUGAGCUUCAGAAACCAGGUUCGCUUAUACAUGGUCU